This 92-nucleotide ribosomal RNA is filed under the name Flavilitoribacter nigricans DSM 23189 = NBRC 102662. RNAcentral's name for it is "Lewinella nigricans DSM 23189 = NBRC 102662 partial 16S ribosomal RNA". It matches the Rfam family "Bacterial small subunit ribosomal RNA", at positions 1448 to 1533 of the family's 1533-position model. The record is from RNAcentral. Lineage: Bacteria; Pseudomonadati; Bacteroidota; Saprospiria; Saprospirales; Lewinellaceae.
AGGAGCUAUCUAGGGUAAAACUAGUAACUAGGGCUAAGUCGUAACAAGGUAGCCGUACCGGAAGGUGCGGCUGGAAUACCUCCUUUUAAGAG